CUUAAGGUGGUACCCAACACCUUCACUUAAAUUAAUUUGGCUCGUUUAAUUUUCAUAAAAUUUUGACAAAGUAUUUACUUUGACCCUUUAACAAAAAUGUAAAAAUUUCAAAAAAUUUGAACCAACCAAUUGAUCAGAAAAAAUACACUGGUUUAUAUAGCAAUUUGACAAACACCAAUUUUAAUCAUUGAGAAGCUUAAUAUCCCUUUUACAACACAAAGUAAUUAAAACGUUUAGCUAACUUUACAGAGU
RNAcentral lists this long non-coding RNA (252 nucleotides) under Mytilus galloprovincialis (Mediterranean mussel). Lineage: Eukaryota; Metazoa; Mollusca; Bivalvia; Mytilida; Mytilidae. The record is from RNAcentral.